CGGCGGCCUCACCGCGGCAUCCUGGGAGGCGUAGUUCUCACUCCUAUGACAGAAAACGAGGGUGUGGCCAGCAAAGGACUUCAAGGCCCAUGAUCCCUUAGGAGGGGGCCGGCUGCAUUAGGGGUGGCUGCUGGUUUGUAACGUCUACGAGAAAACAGUCUCGGAGCUAAAAAUGAAUGGGAAUAAUCCACAUGAGAGUUGCUCCUUCUGCCUGGGCCUGGGAAUGAGAAGACCUGUGGAGCUGAGCUACUGCUUACCCACAACCUGCAUAUACAUAAAUCAGAAGCCAGCACUGGUUGUUGUGAGUCGCUUAGAUUUUGGGCUUGAUGAAGAUGACCUUAGGCACAGUGACCCUGAAGGCCACAUGUUAAAGACAGUGGAGCCACAGGAUGGAAGGAAGCUGGUUCCCUGAAUCAUCACGUGGCAGAGAGCGGACCACUAAUCAGGAUCAUGUGUUUCAGAUUUCACUUGACCAAUAAAUCAAUUUCAAUUUUGUUACACUG
This 503-nucleotide long non-coding RNA is filed under the name Homo sapiens (human). Its description in RNAcentral is "HSALNT0368357". The record is from RNAcentral. Lineage: Eukaryota; Metazoa; Chordata; Mammalia; Primates; Hominidae.